RNAcentral lists this long non-coding RNA (546 nucleotides) under Capsicum annuum. RNAcentral describes it as "long non-coding RNA (CANN_LNC012846)". The record is from RNAcentral. Lineage: Eukaryota; Viridiplantae; Streptophyta; Magnoliopsida; Solanales; Solanaceae.
UGAUAUAUCGGUUUGUAAAAACCUACUCAGUACUCCCUCUUUCCUACUGUUUCUUCAUGUUUUCAUUCUUAUUUUCCCCAGAGUUUUUUUUUUUAACCCUGUUCAUCUCUUCCUCUUAAUCUAUGUUCUUAACAUCGUACUUCUUUAACCACACCCCGGAAAAUUUUUAUCUGGCAGCUAACAAUCGUCCUUUGUCUAUUGUGCAGACCUUUUGGACUAAAAAAGCCAGAAUUCCUAGGAAUUUACAGGUUAAUCCAUCGUUGAUACUAAGAAAUUAAGAGGCUAACCAUAUACUAAGGGUAAGAAGGUUAUAGACAGUUUAAUUUACAUGAUUAUGCAAAAAAAAACUAUUUAAAACAUAUAUAAGAACAUGAAUAUAAAUAUUUUUGUGGGGAAAAUAUGGAAAUAAGAACUUACAUGAAGUAACUAGGAGAGAGGUUUCCCUUUCGGGAACCCCCUAAAGAUCGAAUAGAAAACUUGAAUCUUUUAUUUAAACCACGAUGUUACAAAGUUUAUACAAGAACGACUGGGUUAGACAAGUUUUUU